CAGUCAGUUACAGAGCAGUUAUGAUAAACUGAGUAAAAACCACAGUCAGCUACAGGAAGAAGUGAAGAAGCUGAAGGAGAAGAUAGAAGGUAAUAAAGUUUGAAUAACUAAUAGAAAACAUCAGUGUUACACAGUGAUAACCUGAUUGUGUCUUUAUUUUGAAUCCUAAAUGUUUGAUGCUGUGUAACAGUUUUUCUGUAUAAAUGUAAGUUUCAGUUAAUUAUGAAUAAGAGAGAAAACCUGAGUUUAAAUGAAGGAUUUACAGGGAAAAUGACAGGAACCAAAGAUUUUUGACUAAAGACUGAAAUCAGAGAUCUUAUUAAUGUGAUACAACAUGACACAAAGUCUGUCUUUAAAACAUGUGUUUGACUUUAAGAGAAGUGUCCUGAUCGAUGGACGAGAUUUGGAAGCAGCUGUUACUUUAAAUCCCAUGAGAGGAAAACUUGGUCUGACAGCAGGAGAGACUGUCAGGAUAAAGGAGCUGAUCUGGUGAUGAUAAACAGCAAAGAGGAACAGGAAUUUAUCAAUGAACUGAACAUGAGAGGAGAGUCCUGGAUUGGUCUGAGAGCCAAACAGACAUCAGGAGGAUAUAAAUGGGAAUGGGUGGACGGAUCAGCUGUGAAUGAAACGUUCUGGGCAGAAGGAUAUGAGAUUCCCAGUUAUGGUUACUAUGGAGUCUGCUGUGACAGUGAUGGGAGAUGGACACAGUCACCUGGAUAUAAUUUUGGUGAUCGUGUUUCAAAGACCUUCAUCUGUGAGAAAUGAGUUUUGGUGCUUUGAUGUAAAUGUUUGAAUAAUCCAACCAAAGACACCUCACUAUGAAAUGUCCUGCAUGAGCCUCAGACUCAGCUCACAGUUGUUACUUGUUCAUUCUGCAUCAUAUAUUGAUUACAUAUAUUGUCCCUCUGUGCUCUGUGCUGUACAGUAAGGUUGGAAGUCA
This is a long non-coding RNA of Oreochromis aureus, 940 nucleotides long. The record is from Ensembl. Lineage: Eukaryota; Metazoa; Chordata; Actinopteri; Cichliformes; Cichlidae.